This 439-nucleotide ribosomal RNA is filed under the name uncultured bacterium. Its description in RNAcentral is "partial 16S ribosomal RNA". It matches the Rfam family "Bacterial small subunit ribosomal RNA", at positions 339 to 795 of the family's 1533-position model. The record is from RNAcentral.
CUACGAGGCGCUGCAGUGAGGAAUAUUGCACAAUGGGGGGAACCCUGAUGCAGCAACGCCGCGUGGAGGAUGACGCAUUUCGGUGUGUAAACUCCUUUUAUAUGUCAAGAAAAUGACGGUAGCAUAUGAAUAAGCACCGGCUAACUCCGUGCCAGCAGCCGCGGUAAUACGGAGGGUGCAAGCGUUACUCGGAAUCACUGGGUGUAAAGGACGCGUAGGCGGGUUGGAAAGUCAGGUGUGAAAUCCUACAGCUUAACUGUAGAACUGCACUUGAAACUUCUAAUCUAGAGUAUGGGAGGGGGAGAUGGAAUUAGUGGUGUAGGGGUAAAAUCCGUAGAUAUCACUAGGAAUACCUAAAGCGAAGGCGAUCUCCUGGAACAUUACUGACGCUAAGGCGUGAAAGCGUGGGGAGCAAACAGGAUUAGAUACCCGUGUAGUC